GAUGAACGCUAGCGGCAGGCCUAACACAUGCAAGUCGAGGGGUAGAGUUCUUCGGGACUUGAGACCGGCGCACGGGUGCGUAACGCGUAUGCAAUCUACCUUAUACAGGGGAAUAGCCCCAGAGAAAUUUGGAUUAAUGCCCCAUAGUGUUAUCGAAUCGCAUGGUUUGAUAACUAAAGUUCCAACGGUAUAAGAUGAGCAUGCGUCCCAUUAGUUAGUUGGUAAGGUAACGGCUUACCAAGACAAUGAUGGGUAGGGGUCCUGAGAGGGAGAUCCCCCACACUGGUACUGAGACACGGACCAGACUCCUACGGGAGGCAGCAGUGAGGAAUAUUGGUCAAUGGGCGCAAGCCUGACCAGCCAUGCGCGUGCAGGAAGACGGUCCUAUGGAUUGUAAACUGCUUUAUACAGGAAGAACACUACCUCGUGAGGGAACUUGACGGUAC
RNAcentral lists this ribosomal RNA (446 nucleotides) under uncultured bacterium. RNAcentral's name for it is "bacterial SSU rRNA". It matches the Rfam family "Bacterial small subunit ribosomal RNA", at positions 28 to 478 of the family's 1533-position model. The record is from RNAcentral.